AGCCGAUGCUUCUGAGAGCUCACAGUCUGAGGCAGAGGGAACAAAUGGGUGGUAGAUGAGGAUAAAGUUUGGACUGCAUUCAGUAAGGUUAUUUCCUGGCCUCCCUUCCAUGACCUAUGACCGAUGAUGACCUUUAGCUAGAGAAUGUGACAUUUUGUUCUCCUCUGGCUGACAUGUGAUGCCCUCAUUAUUCAAAGGUGUCUCACACUGACAGCUGCAAUUUUACUGUGCAGCACAGGGUGUCCACUCUCAUUACGUUUCAAGACGCAGGAAAUGCAACUCAAUAUCUGAAUGCAUAAGAAGGAAGGAGCCUUUUAGAGUUCAAGGAUUCAAGAAACCUGUUGACACCAGUACAUGCUGGUAUAUAAAAAAUCAAUUACAGACUUUUAUACUUACAUGUGCUGGCUUCCCAUCCCCCAAAAGCCCACAGUAAGGAGGUUCACAAAUGGGAAAUGAAGAACUGCCAGGCACUUGGAUCCUUAUUGUGAAGAUUGACUGAAGAGAAGAAUCCAAAACACAAGGUGCUGCAUAGAAACCUUUGAAUCAGAACAGCUCAUGCCAAUACAUCUUCAUAGCCAAUGCUGGGAAACAUCACCAAUUACUGUGGCUGUUUUCAGAGCACAAGAACAGAAUAUUUAAUUUUACCAGCCUCUAAGGACAGCAAAACUGAAUUUGAACUCUAGUUAAAGUUUUGCAGAUUACUCCUGACCUCUCUGGGACAAAGAGAUGAAUGUCACUGGAGUCAUGACUUUUUUCACAUUCUGCUUGUCUUUGUCAUUCUCCUAAUAAUGCAGAGGACUAGAAACAAGAGCUGGGUGGUGUUUUUUUCCUCCUGCCUGGAAAUCUAUUUAGAUUAGUCACCAGGUUUUCCAGUCUACGGUCAUUGAAGGUCAUUUGGUUUAUAGCUGAAAUUCUCAAUUGGAACCUCAUCUUGUAAUCAGAACUUAAAACCCAAGCAAGGUUUUGUAUCUCCUCUGAAAGGGUAGGUUGUUGUAUGAUUAGCUUCAGAAUGUUAAAUGGACUGUCUGUGUAAUGAUGGGUAAUUUUGGGGGGCUUAAAUUGCCGACGAGAAGACCUGUCUUGAAUAAUAAUACCAGGCUAUUUUAUAAAGAACAGUAUUCUAGGCCUCUCCUAAAUGCUAAUUCUAUUACACAUUAACAUUUCCUUUGCUGUAAAAUGGCAAAAGGCAAGCCAGCAAGAUGUAAAAAUCUUGCAAAGUGCAUUUUCACUUAUAGACUGCUCCUAAGAGCAGGCUGUUUCCUGAAAACGUCCCUUAAAUAAGCAUCCACUUACAGUGGUCAUCAUCAUACAGUCAGCAUCUGCUAAUAGCUGUUCCACAGCCUCGGCAAACACAGAAUAUUUGUUGUAAUCUACAGAGUGAUGGAAAUACCUGUGUAAUUUUUGCACUGUUUUGGUUUUUUUUUAAACUAUUCUUGGCCCUAAGUAUAAAGCAUCAGUCACACAGUGUAGAUGUACUCCUAGGGGCUGUUCAUAAAGCCUGGUGUCCUGUAUAUUUUCUGGUUCUCUACGACUAUUGGUGAGACUCUGAAAGCCCUUUUUAAUUUUUUGUUGAUUGAUUGAUUAUUUUAAUGUCUCUUUGGUCCAUGUGCAACUCAAACACAAAUAUUUACAUGUGUGCAUGUAUAUAUAAAAUUAAUUAAAACUGAAGGCUUCUUGAAGGAAACAAUCCACCCCUGCCAUGAUAUUGUUAUUGGGGAUAGUAUAUUUAGCUUUGUUAGGGGAAACAAAUUUUUGGCCAACAUCUCCUGAUGUACAAGUUGACCUUUGAUUUCUUCAUUUUUAUUACACUUUAGGUUCCCAGUUUCAGAGGCUAACCCAGCACCCAUAUGGAUGGCUUUAGCAUGUUCCACCUCUCUUUUUGCCCCAGUUGCUGCCUCCCUUUCUGUGUUUCCACACAGUUGACAUCCAUGCAGCUGCUUCGAUACAAGCAGGAGGUUAUCUUGCACAGGGAUGGGUGUCAGGGACAGCUUGAGGAGUGUCUCCAGUUGGAUAUUGUCCCACAGUCCCCCAGCAUCACCACCAUGACGUGUGAUGUCAGCUCAUUGCUUGUUCCAGCAGGCAUUAUUGUCACUCUUACUGGCAAGCUGGGCAUUUCCAGAACAUCUCUGUGGGCAGAUGGUGCCAUCCCCAACUUGGCUCCAUUUGUAAGGAGUCUGAAUCACCCUUUGGACACACCUUCUUGAUUCCUCUCUGGGCUUACAGGAGCUGACAUCACCCAGCUCUUAAUCUCUUCUCCAGAAGCACCAAACUCUAAUGCCAGAUUACCUUUCUCCUUUAUCUUCUUCAGCCACUCCCCAAACAGAACUCCUUUUAAGUGAUUACUUUCAUAUAUUCACUUUACAUGGAUUUUAAAAAGUUCCAUGGAUUUCCAAAUAGUUCACUCCAAUAGAUUCCAGCUCAGCAACUCCACCAGCUUCCCAGAGGUUGCAGAUACAACAAACAUGAAUAUACCCCUACUCUCCAUGGUUUUUAAAAUACUGGGUUCCAAAUUAUGCUGCUGUUGCUUCACAUCUCUCUGAUGCCAAGAUGAUGGAAAACUGCUGUAACAGAAUAACUGAAAAAAACCCCCAGCCACAUAAUGAAUCAAUACCACUCAGAGCUAUCUGAUUUUUACAGUUGUCAUUAGCCAAACUAGGCCCUGACUACUUUGGAGAACAAAAAGCAGAAAAGUUGUUAAACAAUUUUCUUUUACUCAAAUUCAUUUCAUGAGUCAGAUACAUCCCAAGGAUCUGGGCCUACAUUUCUAAAUUUGCUGAGGCCAGGCUGACUUUUCCAGCUAGCUUCCUUUCUCCACAGCUGAGAUCUCAGAAGAAAUAAAAAUCAGUGUAACUCAUGUUAAAAGGGCACCUUUUAACUCUAUGUACCCAGCCCCAUCAGCCUCCUGCCUCUCUCAGGCUGGCAACCAAAUACCAGCAUGUUGGAGAAUGCAUUUACUUUUUGAUGAAGUACAGACCUUAAAAAGCUAAGCUGGAUACAAAGUUCAUGACAGACAGCAAGGGCUUUUGCAGACAGAAAAGUGCAGCUGCAAAAAGAGCCUGCUCACAAUGAAUUGCAGGAAGGCCAUGGUUUGAGAUAUUUUACUUCUUAAUAGCAUAGGGUGGGAGUCUCCUGGAUGUAUGUGGACACCACACUGGCUCCAGGGGUCGUGUCUCCAGCAAUAGUGUAGGUGGCUGUGGGCUCCCUUCUAGCACACGAUUUAGUUGAUGUUCCUGAACCUAAUGAAUUUUGGCGGCGGGAAUGAUAAUAGCAGACAAUUGUUUGUCUCCAGUUGCUAAAUUUUGUUAGAGAGUUAAAAUAAACCUGUCUGUUUGACUAGUCUCAUGUGCAACAAAACAAAAAUAAGCCUUCACAAAGAAUCAUUUUCAAGCGCCAUUUUACUUUUUGUCUUAGGCUUGCAAAUGCCUUUCAUGUUUUCUGAUAUGUCAGAUAUCAUAAUGCAAAAUAAAUAACCAAGUGAAACACACAGACAUAUUCUCUGGGUGGCUUGUGAUGUAGAAAAAAGAGCCUUCUGCUGCUUCCCUUACCUCCUUCCUGGUCUUUCUUUUUUUUCUUUCUAAGGCUUGCAAUAGAUGCCUCUUUGUAGCAUGUACAUGAAACUGAUGUUAUUUUAAUACUGUACUGUUUCACAGCAUUUUAGAGCCCAGUCACAGCUCAGGACCCCCUCUGAGUUAGACAUCGUGCAGACAGAACAAAGUCAGCCCUGGCUCUGAGGAGAGCCCAUCUCACACUGCACCUCCCAUGGCCACAGGAGACUCACAUUGUAAAUGCUGAUGCAUUCAACACAUCUGCCACACAUGCAGAUCGUGGAGACAGUGACAUUGCCUGAGAUGCUGGGGGGUUUGCAGCAAUGCCUAUUGGUUGCUAAAUACAUCAUUCAAAUUGAGCCACUUUUUAAAAAAAGCUUAAACCUGGAGUUUGCCAUGCAAAUUCAGCUUUGGAGGAACAUGGGACUGGAGCAGGACUUGGUAGGUCAAAUAUUUAAAAGUCCUCCAGUCAUGUAGGAACUCAGAGCCUCAAUUUCAGAAGUGAAAUUGGAAUUUAAUUUCUAGGAACAAAGAACUUAGGACAUUUUUGCAAGGAGGGAUAGGCUCCCAUUUCACUUUUCAAAAUAUUACUCCUUCUGUUUAAAAAAUACCCUCCCACAUACAGACCCAUCCCUGACACUCCAGAACAGACAGAAAACAGCAAUAACUCUCUGCUGAUUAGACCAGCACAGUACCUGCCCACUAACAACAGCCAGACAAGAAAAAUCCCUGUUAUGGUCCUGCAACAGGACCUUUCUUCCUUUGUCAGUAAGUGAAUCACAAGUACAUUUUACUGCAGCCAAAUUAAAACCAAAAUCCUACCCUCCUUUGGUCCCUAUCUCUUUCACUGUAGCUUGACUUUACAUUGAAGCCAUCAAAUAAAACUUCAAAAUAGCAUAGGACCAAUGACUAUUUAGCAUCAGCUUGCACUUUUCCAUAAAAGCAAA
This is a long non-coding RNA of Corvus hawaiiensis (hawaiian crow), 4492 nucleotides long. RefSeq lists it as uncharacterized. NCBI's taxonomy places the organism in Eukaryota, Metazoa, Chordata, Aves, Passeriformes, Corvidae. The transcript is spliced from 5 exons. The record is from RefSeq and is a predicted model, not a curated record.